This 1244-nucleotide ribosomal RNA is filed under the name metagenome. RNAcentral describes it as "bacterial LSU rRNA". It matches the Rfam family "Bacterial large subunit ribosomal RNA", at positions 1564 to 2818 of the family's 2925-position model. The record is from RNAcentral.
UGAAUACGAGACGCAAAGGCGUCGAAGUAGUGUAUGUCAUACUUCCAAGAAAAGCUUGCACUGUCAUAGAUAAAAAACGCCUGUACCAUAACCGACACAGGUGGGUAGGUAGAGUAUACUAAGGGGCGCGAGAUAACUCUCUCUAAGGAACUCGGCAAAAUAACUCCGUAACUUCGGGAGAAGGAGUGCCUUAUUCGUAAGGUUGCGAUAACAAGAUCCAAGCAACUGUUUAUCAAAAACACAGGUCUCCGCUAAGUCGUAAGACGAUGUAUGGGGGCUGACGCCUGCCCAGUGCCAGAAGGUUAAAGAAGUUGGUUAGCAAUUGCGAAGCUGAUAACUGAAGCCCUGGUGAACGGCGGCCGUAACGAUAACGGUCCUAAGGUAGCGAAAUUCCUUGUCGGGUAAGUUCCGACCCGCACGAAAGGCGUAAUGAUUUGGAUACUGUCUCGGAGAGGGGCUCGGUGAGAUAGACUUGUCUGUGAAGAUGCGGACUACCUGCACCAGGACAGAAAGACCCUAUGAAGCUUUACUGUAACUUGAAAUUGAAAUUGGACUUUAUUCGCGCAGUAUAGGUGGGAGGCGUUGAUUAUAAUCUUGUGGGAUUAUUGGAGCCAUCAGUGAGAUACCACUCUUGUAAUGUUAGAUUUCUAACUUUGAAUCAUUAUCUGGUCAAAGAACAGUUUCAGGCGGGCAGUUUGACUGGGGCGGUCGCCUCCUAAACGGUAACGGAGGCGUACAAAGGUUUCCUCUGAACGGUUAGAAAUCGUAUCUAGAGUGUAAAGGCAUAAGGAAGCUUGACUGUGAGACCUACAAGUCGAGCAGGGACGAAAGUCGGUCUUAGUGAUCUGACGGUACUGAGUGGAAAGGCCGUCACUCAACGGAUAAAAGUUACUCUAAGGAUAACAGGCUGAUCUCCCCCAAGAGUUCACAUCGACGGGGAGGUUUGGCACCUCGAUGUCGGCUCAUCGCAUCCUGGGGCGGUAGUACGUCCCAAGGGUUGGGCUGUUCGCCCAUGAAAGCGGUACGCGAGCUGGGUUCAGAACGUCGUGAGACAGUUCGGUCCAUAUCCGGUGUAGGCGUUAGAAUAUUGAGAGGAGCCUUCUUUAGUACGAGAGGACCGAGAAGGACAUACCUCUGGUGUACCAGUUAUCGUGCCAACGGUAAACGCUGGGUAGCUAUGUAUGGAGUGGAUAACCGCUGAAAGCAUCUAAGUGGGAAGCCACCUCAAGAUAAGUAUUCUCAUC